RNAcentral lists this ribosomal RNA (497 nucleotides) under uncultured bacterium. RNAcentral describes it as "partial 16S ribosomal RNA". It matches the Rfam family "Bacterial small subunit ribosomal RNA", at positions 28 to 507 of the family's 1533-position model. The record is from RNAcentral.
GAUGAACGCUGGCGGCGUGCCUAAUACAUGCAAGUCGAGCGAACAGACGAGGAGCUUGCUCCUUUGACGUUAGCGGCGGACGGGUGAGUAACACGUGGGUAACCUCCCUAUAAGACUGGGAUAACUUCGGGAAACCGGAGCUAAUACCGGAUAAUAUUUCGAACCGCAUGGUUCUAUAGUGAAAGAUGGCUUUGCUAUCACUUAUAGAUGGACCUGCGCCGUAUUAGCUAGUUGGUAAGGUAACGGCUUACCAAGGCAACGAUACGUAGCCGACCUGAGAGGGUGAUCGGCCACACUGGAACUGAGACACGGUCCAGACUCCUACGGGAGGCAGCAGUAGGGAAUCUUCCGCAAUGGGCGAAAGCCUGACGGAGCAACGCCGCGUGAGUGAUGAAGGUCUUCGGAUCGUAAAACUCUGUUAUUAGGGAAGAACAAACGUGUAAGUAACUGUGCACGUCUUGACGGUACCUAAUCAGAAAGCCACGGCUAACUACGUG